AAGUCGUAACAAGGUUUCCGUAGGUGAACCUGCGGAAGGAUCAUUAUCGUAUCUCUGGUGGCGUGGGGCGAGCCCUGCUCCGGCCCACAAAAGCCGUGAAGCGGGCCCGCGUCCGCCGCCCAACCUUUGAAACCCCACCGUGAACCUUUACGGCGGAGGGUGCCGGCGAGAGCUGUGCCCGAAGCCGCAUUUACCCAAAACUCCAGUUUUGAACGAACGUCUCAGCGGACACUGUGCCGCCUAUGAAACUUUGACAACUUUCAACAACGGAUCUCUUGGCUCUC
RNAcentral lists this unclassified non-coding RNA (284 nucleotides) under air metagenome. Its description in RNAcentral is "partial contains small subunit ribosomal RNA, internal transcribed spacer 1, and 5.8S ribosomal RNA". The stretch from base 1 to 46 matches the Rfam family "Eukaryotic small subunit ribosomal RNA", at positions 1786 to 1831 of the family's 1831-position model. The record is from RNAcentral.